GAACCAACAAAUCUGGAAUCACAAAUCUGACCACUAAAAAGCCCAAUCAUCCAUAUUAGAAAAUCCCAACCCAACCAUCGAAAUGAGACCAUUAAUUGACACUAAAAAAUCAGGUUAGUGGAUAACAUCCAAAAAAUUUCAUCAAGAUCUGCACAUUCUGAAAAAAUCAACUGUUCACCUUAUAAAAGAAAUCACACCCAAUCAAAUGACAGCUCACACCAAAAAAUUAUUCAAAACUGACCAUCACCAUCACAAAAUUAUUAAAUUUCUAACAAUGUUUAACCAAAACCAGCAGUUCCGGUCGAUCUUAAGACACUCCCUCACCUUCCAUCUACACAUGAAUCUAUCACCAAAAACACAUAUAACUCUAUCCUAAAUAUCAUAAAUUCACUUAGCUAGCUACAAGUUCUACAAAGACACUCAUACUUUCCCUUGCCUUUGAGACCUCUCUAUACACAAGCCACACUAAGAUUUCCAUCUACCCAAGCACCACCUCACACGAUUGCCGGAUGACCCCUCGUCGGAGUUCCGUCUUCGUUUGUAUCCCAACCUCGCCGUAGUCUGGAAGUUUUUCACUCCACUUCCGUUUCCUUUUUCCUCCCUCCCCUG
This 609-nucleotide long non-coding RNA is filed under the name Zostera marina. RNAcentral's name for it is "long non-coding RNA (ZMAR_LNC001500)". Lineage: Eukaryota; Viridiplantae; Streptophyta; Magnoliopsida; Alismatales; Zosteraceae. The record is from RNAcentral.